RNAcentral lists this ribosomal RNA (756 nucleotides) under uncultured Bacilli bacterium. Its description in RNAcentral is "bacterial SSU rRNA". It matches the Rfam family "Bacterial small subunit ribosomal RNA", at positions 28 to 757 of the family's 1533-position model. Lineage: Bacteria; Bacillati; Bacillota; Bacilli. The record is from RNAcentral.
GACGAACGCUGGCGGCGUGCCUAAUACAUGCAAGUCGAACGCUUUUCUUUCACCGGAGCUUGCUCCACCGAAAGAAAAAGAGUGGCGAACGGGUGAGUAACACGUGGGUAGCCUGCCCAUCAGAAGGGGAUAACACUUGGAAACAGGUGCUAAUACCGUAUAACACUAUUUUCCGCAUGGAAGAAAGUUGAAAGGCGCUUUUGCGUCACUGAUGGAUGGACCCGCGGUGCAUUAGCUAGUUGGUGAGGUAACGGCUCACCAAGGCAACGAUGCAUAGCCGACCUGAGAGGGUGAUCGGCCACACUGGGACUGAGACACGGCCCAGACUCCUACGGGAGGCAGCAGUAGGGAAUCUUCGGCAAUGGACGAAAGUCUGACCGAGCAACGCCGCGUGAGUGAAGAAGGUUUUCGGAUCGUAAAACUCUGUUGUUAGAGAAGAACAAGGAUGAGAGUAAAAUGUUCAUCCCUUGACGGUAUCUAACCAGAAAGCCACGGCUAACUACGUGCCAGCAGCCGCGGUAAUACGUAGGUGGCAAGCGUUGUCCGGAUUUAUUGGGCGUAAAGCGAGCGCAGGCGGUUUCUUAAGUCUGAUGUGAAAGCCCCCGGCUCAACCGGGGAGGGUCAUUGGAAACUGGGAGACUUGAGUGCAGAAGAGGAGAGUGGAAUUCCAUGUGUAGCGGUGAAAUGCGUAGAUAUAUGGAGGAACACCAGUGGCGAAGGCGGCUCUCUGGUCUGUAACUGACGCUGAGGCUCGAA